GGGGAAUAUUGGACAAUGGGCGAAAGCCUGAUCCAGCAAUGCCGCGUGGGUGAAGAAGGUCUUCGGAUUGUAAAGCCCUUUCGGCGGGGACGAUGAUGACGGUACCCGCAGAAGAAGCCCCGGCUAACUUCGUGCCAGCAGCCGCGGGAAUACGAAGGGGGCUAGCGUUGCUCGGAAUGACUGGGCGUAAAGGGCGCGUAGGCGGCGGACACAGUCAGGCGUGAAAUUCCUGGGCUCAACCUGGGGGCUGCGCUUGAUACGUGUUGGCUAGAGUGUGGAAGAGGGUCGUGGAAUUCCCAGUGUAGAGGUGAAAUUCGUAGAUAUUGGGAAGAACACCGGUGGCGAAGGCGGCGACCUGGUCCAUGACUGACGCUGAGGCGCGAAAGCGUAGGGAGCAAACA
RNAcentral lists this ribosomal RNA (401 nucleotides) under uncultured bacterium. RNAcentral describes it as "bacterial SSU rRNA". It matches the Rfam family "Bacterial small subunit ribosomal RNA", at positions 356 to 774 of the family's 1533-position model. The record is from RNAcentral.